AUACGUAGGGUGCAAGCGUUAAUCGGAAUUACUGGGCGUAAAGCGUGCGCAGGCGGCUUUGUAAGACGGAUGUGAAAGCCCCGGGCUCAACCUGGGAAGUGCAUUCGUGACUGCAAGGCUAGAGUGUGUCAGAGGGAGGUGGAAUUCCGCGUGUAGCAGUGAAAUGCGUAGAGAUGCGGAGGAACACCGAUGGCGAAGGCAGCCUCCUGGGAUAACACUGACGCUCAGGCACGAAAGCGUGGGGAGC
This 247-nucleotide ribosomal RNA is filed under the name uncultured bacterium. RNAcentral describes it as "partial 16S ribosomal RNA". It matches the Rfam family "Bacterial small subunit ribosomal RNA", at positions 523 to 769 of the family's 1533-position model. The record is from RNAcentral.